CGAUGAAGAUGAAUGGGGGGUAGGAGGGAGAAGAAGGAGCCGGGCACUUGGUACAGACGAGGGAAGGUGGCCUGAGGAUGGGUCCAGUGGGCCCAGGCUGGCUGGCUGCCUGGCCACGCAGCACCGCCCUGCAGACCUGGGGUAGACAAACACCCCUGGAGAGACCCCUGGAAAUGGACCCCAGGCAACCCUGCCAGCCCACGGGGGAAGCUCAUCUCCACUGGUCACAGAGCUGGCCCAUCUCUCCUCUGUUGCGUGCCCUGCGGGCUGGUGUGGCAGGCCCCCAGCACUCAUGGGGGCAGGCUUAUAUGCCAGCAGAGACCUCGGGAAGUGUUCACCACAUGAUGCGUUGGCCCCUUGAGUCCUCAAAACAGAGACCCUGUGAGGAGACGGAGAAGAUGGCCAUCUGCAUGCCCGGGAGAGGGGCCUCGGGGGACCCAGCCCUGCCCACUCCUUGAUCUUGGACUUUGAGCCUCCAGGAUGCUCUGAUUUCACGAGUGAUGCAUCGAGCCAUGCACACUAGACACCGAACAGAUCCAAGGACGAAGGAAGAAGCAGAGGUGACUCCUGCCACGUGGGAAAACGCCUUCGGACGCACGGGCGCCGCUUCACGCAGUCUGGUCUUGCAGGUGGCAUUGAAAGCCUGGCUCACCUCUCCCAACCUCAGCGCCUCUGCGGAGGUAAAACACUCACUGGAGUCGGCGUGACACCUCUCGGGGCUUCAAAGUCUGGAGGGAUGCUCGCUGCAGGCCUGUGACCUCUGCACUAAUCCCCGGAUAGCGUCCCGCUGCUCGUCUCCCGCUGAGCCGAGACUUCCUCCACGAAGACCUGGCAGCGUCUGGAUGGACGCACCAAGAGGCUGAGAAGAGCGAAGCCACAAGACACGAUGCUAAACAGCCACAGAGAAGAUUCCGACCAGGGGUGAAAAGGAAUUUCACAACAGCACAGGUUUCGAGAGGCUCUGGAGGAGCCCAAACUGGAGAAAAUCGACCGGUGUGGGGGCACCGCCUACUGGGGGGGGUCUUAUAGUCCAGAAGCCUCCAUUUCAGACUUUGCCUCAGGGGCUGGUAAGUAAAUGUCUGAAGUUAUGCAAGAAAGCUUUGAACAUAUCCCAAGAGACACCAGCUGCCUUUCCGAGAGCAGGCUCUCCAAUGGACAUCUGGGCUCAACGUCCGCUACGUAAUCUUCAAAGUACAUGUUCGGUCCUUGGCUCCAGAGGCUUUGUGGCCUUGUCCAAAUCUCAGAUUCUGCACCGUCACAACUUCAAAAAAUAAUACAGCGUUCCCAGGGGACCCGCUCCGGGGAUGGAGCCGACACUUUGUAACCCAAAACCUGUGAGGAAACUUCAGUUCAGGCGCCAAAGAGAGGCACCACUGCUGGUUACGAAGAUGAGAAACACCUGCCUCCAGGUAGCGACUGUUGCACAAAAUCACUGAAAGAUGGGCUGCAGAACUCAACUCCCUCCAGGACUGGAGAGUCCGAGCACUGCGUGAGCCUGCGUGAGACACAUCAUCCGUGUUCUUUCUCUAAGGCCCCCUGGUUGGGGCUGUCUUUCUACAGAAACCUGUACCUGCAUGUUCAUGGCCGACGAGUUCUCCGAGAAGGCCCUUCUGUGAGCUUCAGAGAAGCAAAGCCCCGUCCUCGGGAAGCACCGUCCAGGGUCCAGGGCCUCCAAACAGCCAACAGUCCUCUCAGUCACAGAAUGCGCCCUGCUGACCGUCGGUGCAGGUCGGCGGACAGAGAACCCAGCGUGAGGACUUGGAGGGGCCGGGAGUCAGGGUGGGGCGAGGACAAGGACCUUGGAAUUAAGCGACACUGGAGGGAACCCAGCCACCUCCGCAUUCUCGCCCUCCCCGCCCCACUCCCUUCCAGCUGGGCUGUCGAGGAGGGCGGCUGUAACAUCAGCUGAUGCCCUCGCUCUUGGAAACUGAUGACUGAUCGACUGCUUUGGUAAAAGUACUUCCAGACUCAGAAGGGAGGGAGGCGGCCGGACUAACACACCAGGUGACAUCUCGGUGCCUGAAUAUGCCCCACAUUUAUGCAUCCUUUCAACCGGGGACUAGGAGCAUCGGGCUGUCACUUGGGGGUAACGGCGGCCACGCAGCCAUAGACGCCCCCAGGUGGCUUUUCUUACUGGACACACCCUUUCAUUCCUAGGAGGGCACUGCUGUGUAUUGUAACAAUCCUGGGUUUAACUGGCAAACCUGAUGCCAAUUUCUCAUCUUUUUUUUUUUUUUUUUUUGGUUGCACCCACAGCAUGUGGAAAUUCCUCGGCCAGAGAGCGAACCUGCACCACAGCUGUGGCCGCCCCAGAUGCUUAACCCAGUGCUCCCAGAGGGACUCCCUGCUGCUCAUUUUUCUUUUCUUUUUUUUUUUUUUUUUUUUUUUUUUUGGUCUUUUUGCCUUUUCUAGGGCUGCUCCCGUGGCAUAUGGAGGUUCCCAGGCUAGGGGUUCAAUUGGAGCUGUGACCACCAGCCUACACCACAGCCACAGCAACACGGGAUCCAAGUCACGUCUGCGACCUACACCACAGCUCACGGCAAUGCCGGAUCCUUAACCCAAUGAGCAAGGGCAGGGCUCGAACCUGCAACCUCAUGGUUCCUAGUCAGAUUCGUUAACCACUGAGCCACGAUGGGAACUCCCCUGCUGCUCAUUUCUUUAAGGAACUUUCCUAGCCAUGAAAAUAAUGGGUCCAAUCACGCAGGCAUCUUUAACGUGACGAUGCAUAUGGUCAAGUUACACUCCUAAAAACUGGGCCAACCUCUGGCCCCGCCGGCAGCGCAGGGGGACAUGCUGACGGUACACAUCUGGGCUCCAGAUGCUCAAGGAGGGCCCACAGUCACGGGACCUGUUUGGAGCGGCAGGGACUCCCGAGGCAGCCACUCCUCUCCUGGACGAGCUCUGUGGAAGGAUCCAGAGCUCCGGGCUCCCCGCCCAGGCUGCUGCUUGCUGGCCAAGCCCCCUCGAGCUAGGGGUUCAUUUUUUCUUCGGCAAAAGAUAACCCUCUUCUGCCCGCCCCCCUCAGCGGAUCGGCAGAGGAAUGCUUUUGUCAUGUAGACACGCCAGACACCAAUGACUGGCCACAGGAUCACUUUUGAGAAGCACUGCUCACCUGGGUUGUCCCCAAGCCUCAGGACUUGGGGGGGGGAUGUGGGCUUGGGGUCCCUGGUUGGUUGGCUUGCGAGAUAUCGGCUUCAGCAGAACGUG
RNAcentral lists this long non-coding RNA (3207 nucleotides) under Sus scrofa (pig). Its description in RNAcentral is "lncRNA (ENSSSCG00035038269.1)". Lineage: Eukaryota; Metazoa; Chordata; Mammalia; Artiodactyla; Suidae. The record is from RNAcentral.